CUGGCUCAGAACGAACGCUGGCGGCAGGCCUAAGUCAUGCAAGUUGAACGGCUGUAGCAAUACAGCAGUAGCGGACGGGUGAGUAAUGUAUGGGAACGUAUCUUCUAGUGGGGAAUAUUCUUUGGAAACGAAGAGCAAUACCGCAUGAGUCCUACGGGAGAAAGUCGCAAGACGCUAGAUGAGCGGCCCAUAUUGGAUUAGCUAGUUGGUUAGGUAAUGGCUGACCAAGGCAACGAUCCAUAGCUGGUCUAAGAGGACGAUCAGCCACAUUGGGACUGAGACACGGCCCAGACUCCUACGGGAGGCAGCAGUCAGGAAUAUUGGACAAUGGGGGCAACCCUGAUCCCAGCCAUGCCGCGUGAGUGUUAAGGUCUUCGGAUUGUAAAGCUCUUUUGUGUGGGAAAAUGAUGAUGGUACCACAAGAAUAAGCACCGGCUAACUUCGUGCCAGCCGCAGC
RNAcentral lists this ribosomal RNA (457 nucleotides) under uncultured bacterium. RNAcentral describes it as "bacterial SSU rRNA". It matches the Rfam family "Bacterial small subunit ribosomal RNA", at positions 19 to 518 of the family's 1533-position model. The record is from RNAcentral.